GCUGUUUAACAGCAUCCAGCAGUUUGAAACUAUCCGUCGGGUGUAUCACAUUGUUUUCUGUGCACUUUUCAGUGGAGUCUAUUGGCAUUGUCUAUUUUUAUCGUAAGGAUGAUGGAACUUGAAGAAGACCUCUUGUUGCUGUCGCCGGUGGGAGAUGUUCCGCCGACGCCUUCUACGUCUACGACGAAGCGUGCGGCGGCUUCUCCGGCUUCUAACACCGACAAGAGAGGGCGUACGGACGAUCCCAAUGGUAUGAGGCUGGUUGUAAAAAGACCAAAGAACGAUGUGGACGGCGAUUUUUAUGAUAAGCUGAUGUCUGAGUUAGUGACGCGGCAAGUAGCGAUACCUCUGGACCAACAGCAACCAGUGUUUCUCGGUUCUGGUAUCUCCUUCGGAGUAGUUUGGUUCACCGCCAAAGACCAAUUCAGCUAUGACUGGUUGAAAGCGACCUUGGCGACAUUUUGAUUAAAAAUAUAGUGUCCCCCUUUGAGAUACUUGCUCAGUCAGCACCUGAUCCACUCCAUAGAAUGAUCAUUUCAACUCCACUGAUACCCAAAACCCAAACAACAUUUACAUGAAAAAUCAUAUAUGGAUAAAAUUUUCUUAAAUAAAUAAAUUUGAACUAAAUCAGA
This is a long non-coding RNA of Aedes aegypti (yellow fever mosquito), 632 nucleotides long. RefSeq lists it as uncharacterized. Lineage: Eukaryota; Metazoa; Arthropoda; Insecta; Diptera; Culicidae. The transcript is spliced from 2 exons. The record is from RefSeq and is a predicted model, not a curated record.